AUGCACCCCAAGCAACCACUCCAAAUGGAUAGAGUAUGACUUGGGUCGAUGUGUACAGUGACCAGAAUCACUAAAAAAUUCGUCAUUUUUGACACUUAGAAGCUAAUGCACUGAGUAACAGCUUUAAGACCCAUAGAGUUUGUGAAAACAG
Juglans microcarpa x Juglans regia is the source of this 151-nucleotide long non-coding RNA. RefSeq lists it as uncharacterized. Lineage: Eukaryota; Viridiplantae; Streptophyta; Magnoliopsida; Fagales; Juglandaceae. The record is from RefSeq and is a predicted model, not a curated record. The transcript is spliced from 3 exons.